Sus scrofa (pig) is the source of this 1274-nucleotide long non-coding RNA. RefSeq lists it as uncharacterized. NCBI's taxonomy places the organism in Eukaryota, Metazoa, Chordata, Mammalia, Artiodactyla, Suidae. The record is from RefSeq and is a predicted model, not a curated record.
CCCUCUGAAUGAGGCCAGGGAUGGAACCCACAUCCUCAUGGAUACUGGUCAGGUUUGUAACCUACUGAGCCACAACGGGAACCUCCCAUAUGUGCACCUCUUGAUACCUGCAAUUCUGAUCGCAAUUUGCUUCCUUCUCAUUUUGAAAUGACUGAGUGGGAAUCCUGCAGCAGAAUGCUUUUCUUCCCAGGUUUAUCAGGCACAAUACAUGUUAUUCCUGCUCCAUCAUGAUACUUAUUCUGAUGAUUUUCAGUCAAAACUGAGGAUGUCUGGAGUUCCCUGGGGGCCUAGCAGUUAAGGAUUCAGCCUUGUCACUGCUGUGGCUUGGGUUCAAUCCCUGGUCCACAAACUUUUGCAUGCUGAGGGUGCGGUCCAAAAAAAAAAAAAAUUGAUGUCCAUUAAACCACAAUUUUCUUCUAUAAUUGGUCAUCACGGAUUGUGCUUUUUAUGCAGCAACAUACCACUUGUUCCAACCAUUCCUCUCUCACCAUGCUGAGAAAUCCAUCAUGAGCUGAACAGGUGGGGCCCAAGGAAAGUUUCCGUUUACCCUUUCGUUUGAGGAUCCUGUUUCAAAUGCUGGAUGAAUCUCGGUGAAACUCUCACUUUAAAAUGACGGAUUACCCAUGAAAAGAGUGAACAGAGAAAAAAAAAAAAAAAGCCACGAAAGGGUGAGUGAAUUCUGAGAUCUCAACAGAUUUUUCUGUUCUCUUCCAUCAUGUCAUGAGAAAUCUCUCAUUUCGAAAUGGCAAAGGAUAUUGAACUCUCUCGAAACAGAAACUUGGACGCCCUUAUAUCUGGGAUAAAGCUGCCAGGAAAUUAAACUAGAAUCAACAUUUGACAGGUGAUGCUAAAGAUUAUACUAGCUUUAGGCCCCACAAAGCAUGGAUCCGCCCCUGUCUACCAGCAGAGCAGAUGGGGGAAAGCUACUAUGGAUGGGAAAAAUCGAGGGACAGAGAACAAGAGUCUUAUUUCAGACCACAUUCAUCACAAAGAUUCUUCCAGCCAGCAGACUCUGCUCUAUGAAAGAAGCUGCUCACAUCCCAACCAUGACUCAGGUCCCUGAAGCCACGAGCCCAAGGAAUGAUCGGUCUUAAUGAAAGUGAUUGCCCGUUAAUCUCCCUUCCCAGGGGACUGAGCCAGAGAGGAGAUAGCAAAGGCUCAUUCAGGACCUCCUAUUUUAUAUGCUUUAUCUCAUUUCAUAAUAGAUGCUCACCCUUCUCUUGUUUUUUUUUUUUUUGUUUGUUUGUUUUUUUUUGUCUUUUUUUCUAGGGCCC